Molecule: ribosomal RNA, 253 nt
Filed under: uncultured bacterium
Lineage: Bacteria
Description: partial 16S ribosomal RNA
Rfam family: Bacterial small subunit ribosomal RNA
Source: RNAcentral
UACGUAGGGUGCGAGCGUUAAUCGGAAUUACUGGGCGUAAAGCGUGCGCAGGCGGUUCGUUGUGUCGGCGGUGAAAGCCCCGGGCUUAACCUGGGAAUGGCCGUCGAAACUGGCGAACUGGAGUGUGGCAGAGGGGGGUGGAAUUCCGCGUGUAGCAGUGAAAUGCGUAGAGAUCCGGAAGAACACCAGUGGCGAAGGCGGCCCGCUGGGCAGUGGCUGACGCUGAAGCGCGACAGCGUGGGGAGCAAACAGG